This 59-nucleotide transfer RNA is filed under the name Calicophoron microbothrioides. RNAcentral's name for it is "tRNA-Ser". Lineage: Eukaryota; Metazoa; Platyhelminthes; Trematoda; Plagiorchiida; Paramphistomidae. The record is from RNAcentral.
GAAGGUUGUGUUGUUGUCGCUGCUAACGAUGAUAUGGAUGUUGGAGCAUCCGACUUUCU